Molecule: non-coding RNA, 69 nt
Organism: Ictidomys tridecemlineatus (thirteen-lined ground squirrel)
Lineage: Eukaryota; Metazoa; Chordata; Mammalia; Rodentia; Sciuridae
Source: Rfam
GGGGUUGUGGCUCAGUGGUAGAGUGCUUGCUUAGCACACAUGUGGCACUGGGUUCAAACCUCAGCACCA